This 940-nucleotide ribosomal RNA is filed under the name uncultured bacterium. Its description in RNAcentral is "bacterial SSU rRNA". It matches the Rfam family "Bacterial small subunit ribosomal RNA", at positions 8 to 944 of the family's 1533-position model. The record is from RNAcentral.
AGAGUUUGAUCCUGGCUCAGAUUGAACGCUGGCGGCAUGCCUUACACAUGCAAGUCGAACGGCAGCACGGGGGCAACCCUGGUGGCGAGUGGCGAACGGGUGAGUAAUACAUCGGAACGUGUCCUGGAGUGGGGGAUAGCCCGGCGAAAGCCGGAUUAAUACCGCAUACGCUCUGAGGAGGAAAGGGGGGGAUCUUCGGACCUCUCGCUCAAGGGGCGGCCGAUGGCAGAUUAGGUAGUUGGUGGGGUAAAGGCCUACCAAGCCGACGAUCUGUAGCUGGUCUGAGAGGACGACCAGCCACACUGGGACUGAGACACGGCCCAGACUCCUACGGGAGGCAGCAGUGGGGAAUUUUGGACAAUGGGCGCAAGCCUGAUCCAGCAAUGCCGCCUGUGUGAAGAAGGCCUUCGGGUUGUAAAGCACUUUUGUCCGGAAAGAAAACCUCUGCCCGAAUACGGCGGGGGGCUGACGGUACCGGAAGAAUAAGCACCGGCUAACUACGUGCCAGCAGCCGCGGUAAUACGUAGGGUGCGAGCGUUAAUCGGAAUUACUGGGCGUAAAGCGUGCGCAGGCGGUUCGUUAAGACAGAUGUGAAAUCCCCGGGCUUAACCUGGGAACUGCAUUUGUGACUGGCGGGCUAGAGUAUGGCAGAGGGGGGUAGAAUUCCACGUGUAGCAGUGAAAUGCGUAGAGAUGUGGAGGAAUACCGAUGGCGAAGGCAGCCCCCUGGGCCAAUACUGACGCUCAUGCACGAAAGCGUGGGGAGCAAACAGGAUUAGAUACCCUGGUAGUCCACGCCCUAAACGAUGUCAACUAGUUGUCGGGUCUUCAUUGACUUGGUAACGUAGCUAACGCGUGAAGUUGACCGCCUGGGGAGUACGGUCGCAAGAUUAAAACUCAAAGGAAUUGACGGGGACCCGCACAAGCGGUGGAUGAUGUGG